GGGCGAGUGGCGGAAAGGCAGACGCAGCGGACUUAAAAUCCGCCGACUAUAUGUCAUGUGGGUUCGACUCCCACCUCGCCCACCA
Molecule: transfer RNA, 85 nt
Filed under: Armatimonadota bacterium
Lineage: Bacteria; Bacillati; Armatimonadota
Description: Armatimonadetes bacterium (anaerobic digester metagenome) tRNA-Leu
Rfam family: tRNA
About the family: Transfer RNA (tRNA) molecules are approximately 80 nucleotides in length.
Source: RNAcentral